This 433-nucleotide ribosomal RNA is filed under the name uncultured bacterium. RNAcentral describes it as "partial 16S ribosomal RNA". It matches the Rfam family "Bacterial small subunit ribosomal RNA", at positions 29 to 507 of the family's 1533-position model. The record is from RNAcentral.
AACGAACGCUGGCGGCAGGCUUAACACAUGCAAGUCGAGCGAGACCUUCGGGUCUAGCGGCGGACGGGUGAGUAACGCGUGGGAACGUGCCCUUCUCUACGGAACAGCCCCGGGAAACUGGGAGUAAUACCGUAUACGCCCUUUGGGGGAAAGAUUUAUCGGAGAAGGAUCGGCCCGCGUUGGAUUAGGUAGUUGGUGGGGUAAUGGCCCACCAAGUCGACGAUCCAUAGCUGGUUUGAGAGGAUGAUCAGCCACACUGGGACUGAGACACGGCCCAGACUCCUACGGGAGGCAGCAGGGGGGAAUCUUAGACAAUGGGGGCAACCCUGAUCUAGCCAGGCCGCGUGAGUGAUGAAGGCCUUAGGGUUGUAAAGCUCUGUCAGCUGGGAAGAUAAUGACGGUACCAGCAGAAGAAGGCCCGGCUAACUCCGUG